RNAcentral lists this small nuclear RNA (107 nucleotides) under Myotis brandtii (Brandt's bat). The record is from RNAcentral. Lineage: Eukaryota; Metazoa; Chordata; Mammalia; Chiroptera; Vespertilionidae.
GUGCUUGCUUCAGUAGCACAUAUACUGAAAUUGGAGCAAUACAGAGAAGAUUAGCAUAGCCCCUGUGCAAGGAUGACACGCAAAUUCAUGAGGCAUUCCAUAUUAAA